This 253-nucleotide ribosomal RNA is filed under the name uncultured bacterium. RNAcentral describes it as "partial 16S ribosomal RNA". It matches the Rfam family "Bacterial small subunit ribosomal RNA", at positions 524 to 776 of the family's 1533-position model. The record is from RNAcentral.
UACGGGGGGGGCAAGCGUUGUUCGGAAUUACUGGGCGUAAAGGGUUCGUAGGUGGCUUGCUAAGUCAGACGUGAAAUCCCUCAGCUUAACCGGGGAACUGCGUCUGAUACUGGAUGGCUUGAGUUUGGGAGAGGGAUGCGGAAUUCCAGGUGUAGCGGUGAAAUGCGUAGAUAUCUGGAGGAACACCGGUGGCGAAGGCGGCAUCCUGGACCAAUACUGACACUGAGGAGCGAAAGCCAGGGGAGCAAACGGG